GACGAACGCUGGCGGCGUGCCUAAUACAUGCAAGUAGAACGCUGAAGGAGGAGCUUGCUUCUCUGGAUGAGUUGCGAACGGGUGAGUAACGCGUAGGUAACCUGCCUGGUAGCGGGGGAUAACUUUUGGAAACGAUAGCUAAUACCGCAUAAUAGUAGAUGUUGCAUGACAUUUGCCUAAAAGGUGCAAUUGCAUCACUACCAGAUGGACCUGCGUUGUAUUAGCUAGUUGGUGGGGUAACGGCUCACCAAGGCGACGAUACAUAGCCGACCGGAGAGGGGGAGCGGCCACACUGGGACUGUGACACGGCACAGACUCCUACAGGAGGCAGCAGGAGGGAAACUUCGGCAAUGGGCGGAAGUCUGACCGAGCAACGCCGCGGGAGGGAAGAAGGGUUUCGGAUCGGAAAGCUCUGUUGUAAGGGAAGAACGAGUGUGAGAGUGGAAAGUUCCCACUGUGACGGUAACUUACCAGAAAGGGACGGCUAACUACGUG
Molecule: ribosomal RNA, 495 nt
Filed under: uncultured bacterium
Lineage: Bacteria
Description: partial 16S ribosomal RNA
Rfam family: Bacterial small subunit ribosomal RNA
Source: RNAcentral